RNAcentral lists this ribosomal RNA (303 nucleotides) under uncultured bacterium. Its description in RNAcentral is "partial 16S ribosomal RNA". It matches the Rfam family "Bacterial small subunit ribosomal RNA", at positions 507 to 807 of the family's 1533-position model. The record is from RNAcentral.
AGCAGUCGCCACGGGAAUACGUAGGUGGCAAGCGUUGUCCGGAAUUAUUGGGCGUAAAGGGCUCGCAGGCGGUUUCUUAAGUCCGAUGUGAAAGCCCCCGGCUCAACCGGGGAGGGUCAUUGGAAACUGGGGAACUUGAGUGCAGAAGAGGAGAGUGGAAUUCCACGUGUAGCGGUGAAAUGCGUAGAGAUGUGGAGGAACACCAGUGGCGGAGGCGACUCUCUGGUCUGUAACUGACGCUGAGGAGCGAAAGCGUGGGGAGCGAACAGGAUUAGAUACCCCUGUAGUCCCUGUCUCUUAUAC